This 459-nucleotide ribosomal RNA is filed under the name uncultured bacterium. Its description in RNAcentral is "bacterial SSU rRNA". It matches the Rfam family "Bacterial small subunit ribosomal RNA", at positions 28 to 507 of the family's 1533-position model. The record is from RNAcentral.
GAUGAACGUUGGCGGUGUGCCUAAUACAUGCAAGUCGAACGGAGUUAGUAGCAAUACUGGCUCAGUGGCGAACGGGUGAGUAACGCGUUGGUGAUCUGCCUUGAAGUGUGGAAUAACGUUUCGAAAGAGACGCUAAUACCGCAUGUGCUCUCGAUUUUCAGAAAGUUGAGAGUAAAGGAUUUAUUCGCUUCGGGAGGGGCCUGCGUCCCAUCAGCUAGUUGGUAAGGUAAUGGCUUACCAAGGCUUUGACGGGUAGCCGGCCUGAGAGGGCGACCGGCCACACUGGGACUGAGAUACGGCCCAGACUCCUACGGGAGGCAGCAGUGGGGAAUAUUGCACAAUGGGCGGAAGCCUGAUGCAGCGACGCCGUGUGCGGGAUGACGGCCUUCGGGUUGUAAACCGCUUUCAACUGUGACGAAUUUGACGGUAGCAGUAGAAGAAGCACCGGCUAACUACGUG